RNAcentral lists this transfer RNA (72 nucleotides) under Camelus bactrianus (Bactrian camel). It matches the Rfam family "tRNA". From Rfam's summary of the family: Transfer RNA (tRNA) molecules are approximately 80 nucleotides in length. Their secondary structure includes four short double-helical elements and three loops (D, anti-codon, and T loops). Lineage: Eukaryota; Metazoa; Chordata; Mammalia; Artiodactyla; Camelidae. RNAcentral also lists the same sequence under 2 other names. The record is from Rfam by way of RNAcentral.
GGUGGUAUGGCUCAGUGGUAAAGCACAUGCUUAGCAUGCAGAAGGGCCUGGGUUCAAUCCCCAGUACCUCCA